CCUAACACAUGCAAGUCGAGCGCAGGAAGCAAGUUGAUCCCCUUCGGGGGUGACGCUUGUGGAAUGAGCGGCGGACGGGUGAGUAACACGUGGGCAACCUGCCUGUAAGACUGGGAUAACCCCGGGAAACCGGGGCUAAUACCGGAUAAUACUUUCUUUUGCAUAAAGGAAAGUUGAAAGGCGGCGUCGGCUGUCACUUACAGAUGGGCCCGCGGCGCAUUAGCUAGUUGGUGAGGUAACGGCUCACCAAGGCGACGAUGCGUAGCCGACCUGAGAGGGUGAUCGGCCACACUGGGACUGAGACACGGCCCAGACUCCUACGGGAGGCAGCAGUAGGGAAUCUUCCGCAAUGGACGAAAGUCUGACGGAGCAACGCCGCGUGAGUGAUGAAGGUUUUCGGAUCGUAAAACUCUGUUGUUAGGGAAGAACAAGUACGAUAGUAACUGAUCGUACCUUGACGGUACCUAACCAGAAAGCCACGGCUAACUACGUGCCAGCAGCCGCGGUAAUACGUAGGUGGCAAGCGUUGUCCGGAAUUAUUGGGCGUAAAGCGCUCGCAGGCGGUCCUUUAAGUCUGAUGUGAAAUCUCGCGGCUCAACCGCGAACGGUCAUUGGAAACUGGAGGACUUGAGUACAGAAGAGGAGAGUGGAAUUCCACGUGUAGCGGUGAAAUGCGUAGAGAUGUGGAGGAACACCAGUGGCGAAGGCGACUCUCUGGUCUGUAACUGGCGCUGAGGAGCGAAAGCGUG
RNAcentral lists this ribosomal RNA (749 nucleotides) under uncultured bacterium. RNAcentral describes it as "bacterial SSU rRNA". It matches the Rfam family "Bacterial small subunit ribosomal RNA", at positions 47 to 763 of the family's 1533-position model. The record is from RNAcentral.